GAUGAACGCUGGUGGCGUGCUUAACACAUGCAAGUCGAACGGAAAGGCCCAAGCUUGCUUGGGUACUCGAGUGGCGAACGGGUGAGUAACACGUGGGUGAUCUGCCCUGCACUUCGGGAUAAGCCUGGGAAACUGGGUCUAAUACCGGAUAGGACCACUUCUUGGAUGUUGUGGUGGAAAGUUUUUUCGGUGUGGGAUGAGCUCGCGGCCUAUCAGCUUGUUGGUGGGGUAAUGGCCUACCAAGGCGUCGACGGGUAGCCGGCCUGAGAGGGUGUACGGCCACAUUGGGACUGAGAUACGGCCCAGACUCCUACGGGAGGCAGCAGUGGGGAAUAUUGCACAAUGGGCGCAAGCCUGAUGCAGCGACGCCGCGUGGGGGAUGACGGCCUUCGGGUUGUAAACUCCUUUCGCUAGGGACGAAGCGUUUUGUGACGGUACCUGGAGAAGAAGCACCGGCUAACUACGUG
This 467-nucleotide ribosomal RNA is filed under the name uncultured bacterium. RNAcentral's name for it is "partial 16S ribosomal RNA". It matches the Rfam family "Bacterial small subunit ribosomal RNA", at positions 28 to 507 of the family's 1533-position model. The record is from RNAcentral.